Molecule: long non-coding RNA, 12705 nt
Organism: Protopterus annectens (West African lungfish)
Lineage: Eukaryota; Metazoa; Chordata; Ceratodontiformes; Protopteridae
Exons: 2
Source: RefSeq, a predicted model, not a curated record
UUGCAGAAAAGAACAAUUUGUCUUUUAUUGAAACAUCUGCUUUGGAUUCGACCAAUGUAGAGGAAGCAUUCAAAAAUAUUCUUACAGAAAUAUACCGUAUAGUGUCACAGAAGCAAAUUGCAGACAGAUCGGCACAUGAUGAAUCUCCUGGAAAUAAUGUGGUUGACAUUACUGUACCACCAACCACCGACGGACAGAAAUCGAGUAAACUGCAGUGCUGUCAGAAUCUGUGACUUUUCUUGGUUAUCAUCCUUGCCUGUGCUUUCUACUAAACUGCCGUGUUUGCUUUUGUCAAUUGUCUCUUGUAAGUUUUGGCAAAUGAUUUUCAUUUCAGAACUUUUACUGUAGAGGUAACAUUCCCUCUAUUAUGAAAUCCCCUUUAAUAUGACAGUUUUCUGGGCUUUAAAUGAAAGCAUUGCCCUUGGCUCUUGUUGGAUUACCUCAUAAUGGUUGUGCUUACCAAUUACAUAACACUUGAGUGUAAACCCAAGCCAUCACAUUUGUUGAGUUGUGUUGCCAGGAGAGUAUUUAAAUAAAGUGAAAUGGAUAUUUGUAUUUUAUUCUGACAUUUUAAGGAAAAAAUUGCAAGGAAAACCUCUUGUUGGUUAUAUCCACUGUUUAUGCUACACAGUUAAAACAGGAGUUGUACCAUUUUAAAGGUAAAACUGGUUUGUUUAAAAGUAUGUACUCUCUAACUGCAAGUUUUCCUUCAGACUAAAAAGAAAGGAUGCAGCAUACGACAUUAGUGUUCUGCAUGUUCAAACUUAAUUAUGAGUACUUUGAUGGGAGUUCAUUUAAGAAGAAUAAAUUCACAUUUGAAAUCAGUUUAUCUCUAACAAGGGUAAAACUUUUUUGUGUUAAUCUGUUCCUAUGUCCUUUACAUGCUUGAAAUCUGUUUAUAGCCCUGAUUUCACAUACUACUGUUUAGUUCAUUACUGAACCUGUGCGCAUUCAUCACGCUGCCCUAAAGGAAUUAUAUUUACAAAAAUAAUCUUUUGAGGAACAUCUGGUAAUAUCGUUGCUGUGGUCCAUUGGAAUGUAGAAUGUUGGUGUUCUGGAAAUGUAUUCAUGUACAGGGAUUUAGAUUGCCAAAGUUGAAUGUAUUGCUGGGUUGCCUAAUGUCCCAACACAUGGUAAGAUUUAAGUCUGUUGGAUAAUGACUUGCCAGUAGUGGUUUUGCGGUAGGUCUUAUUGUUUUUUGGUUCUCGGUAACCUCACAUUUUGUAGUUAAUAUGGGGGGUGGGGAGGCUUCACUACAUACUUUUCUCCAACAUGUGGAGGAGCUUUCAUAGAGUUUGCUGUGUGUCCAGCACCAACAGAAACAAAUCUUCCUUUACCAUGUUUUCAGUAGGGUUAUUUGAAGGAGUUAAAACAGUUGUGGUCUGAGCUGUGUCACAUGGACACAUGCUUUGAAAUAAAACAACUAUAGUAGCACACUGUCAAUGUUUGGAAUGUAUUCAGUAGUGCAUUGUGAAGUUAAAUAGGAUGUGUUAUUGUCACAAACUAUGCUGGUAGUAUGCAAAGUUGCAGAUUGUCCUUAAUGUGGGUUACAUUUUCAAAUAUUGAAGAGUGCAAAAUGUAUUUCCCAUCAGUCUAAAACAAUCGGAUGACUGCUAGUUGUCAAAGUGGGAAUGGCUCCCAAGCCGUAACAGUACCCCUCCAGAAUGUACCUGUUUGUAUGACAUUUAGAAAUGGUUGCCAAAUAAGCUCAAUUGCUAGCUUCAAGUUUUUUUUUUCAUUUUGCUACAUAGUUGCAGAAUGUGAAUGAAGCAGAUUGUUUAAAACUGAGAUCUGGAUGAAAAUAUAAUGAAAAUAUGGUUGUCCUUGUGUUUUUAUCAUUUAGCUAAGUGAGCUCCAUAUUCUAGUUCUCUACUUGGUAUUCUAUAUUUGGAACUUGACAUUUCCUUGUGUUCUGAUGGUCUUUCCUACAUGCUAAAAUAUUCUUUAUACAGAAGUGUAAAGCGGCAUUUUGCUACCAAAGUUUGAAGUAGAAUCAUCAUGUGCCAUGUUUGUAUGUUCUUGUAAUAUGUUUUUUUCUGUAUUCUCAGUCUUGUUGGCCAUAGUUGGGGGGGGGGGGGGGCUAGUGUAUGUAACAUUCAUAACCCAUUGAAGUAGUUGAUCCUGAGGCACAUGUGCCUGAUAUUUCCUGUGAGUCUUUGCUGUAACACUUGAGGAUUAGGCAGAAGUAUCAGUAAGCACUUUUGAAAAUACACUCUCCCUUUUAACAUUUGGCCUUUCCUUCUCUGACAGCUCUUUGCAAAAUUGAGAAGAUAUUGAGUACCCCCCCCCUUGUUUUGGACUGCAGAUUUUCAGGGAGAGUGAACUUUGAGUUUAUCAUGCUUGAUUGCUACAUGUUGCAUUUUAAAGUAUCCAUUGGUGUGUAUUUUAUAUUCAUAGCUAGCAUUUUUCAUUACAUAAGUUAACCCAUACUGACAUCUGUUGCGUCGUCUCUGGGGAAUGAGGUGGCUGUUCUGUUUUCAGGUGCUUCUAUAACCACUCAAAGGCUUUUUGGUGUGCGCAAGCACUACUGUAUAUAUUGUCUUGCUUACUUAGCUGAACUAAACUUGCUAGAUGUUCCUCACUUCCAUUUUUGUCUGCAUAAUGGUAAUGGAAUGUCUGCAGUUUGACAGAGGGGUAAAUGAAUUGUAUUUGGAUGUCAUGUGAUAGAAGGAUGAGACAGCACAGCAGGGGGAGCAUAUUCUUAUCAAUUGCAACGUUUUUUACCAUUUCUUUGAUGUAAUUAUGCCUUCAUUUUGUAAAGUGCGCUUUCUUAUUCUAAAAUGUAAUCCAAAAAUCGGCGUUAAAACAACACAGAAUGUCCCUAAUAGUCAAAGUAAACGCUGAAAUAUAACUGAUGCACAACAAGCGAUAUGCCAUAGCCAAGUGGUGUAGAAUCAGUCACAUUUAAUGUUCCACAGAUGUUAAAAAUCACAUUAAGUGCUUUCAUCCACACUACGGUAGACUUCAUCAGAAUAAUAAGCACCAUAACUCAAUCACAUAAAUACCCCACUUUGGCACCAGAGGUGCAUUGAAUGCUCAAAAUUUAAAGUGAACCAGUGCUGAUAUGCAAAUGCUACACUCCUCAUCAAAACUAAGCCCAACUAAUAUUAUCUAACUUUAUUAACUGGGACCUGUAUUAGGUUUAAUAAACGUGUUUCUGUUUAGAGAGUAGCUUAACAUACAGUAAUUACUUCCAGAUUCCAUAUCAUCCAGCCCCGCUUUCUGAUGAUGUGUUGGUGGGGGAGGGAACAGUUCUGUAGUGGGUUGACAUGUUUUCUGUAGCCUGCAGCAGAUUUUAUUACAAAGAAAGCAGAAUGCAACCCUGUUACCCAGUCAGACUAAUCAGUAAGUAAACACAGCUCCGUUUAAGUAAAAAGUGUAACCAAAAAUAAGAUGUAGACUAAUAAGAUUCUUAGUAAGGUGUAUAUAGUGCUUGGCAUCAGUGUAGUAAAACAGACGUAGGGCCUAUCAAUGGAUUUUAGGGAGAAAACUGUGUGAAUCACUUCAGUGCCAGACCUACUGCACAGUGCAUGUGUAUGUCAUACCAGAAGGAAUUGGUGCUGAAAAUAAAACAUUUGGAAUAAUUUGAGAAUCUGUGAAAGUGAAGAUGCACUAAAAUAAUCAUUCCAUGGCAAACAACUGUUUACCGCAGUGUGGUAGUGUAUGUUAUACAGAAGUAUCUUAACUUUUAAAUUUGAUAAUUCUACAGCGGUCCAUUUAAUUUUGCCUUCUGUCCAAACCUCUUGGCUGUCCCUAAUUUUGCCCCAUACCACAUAAAGGUUUUGAAUUUCUUGUAAAUCACUGGGAAUUGCAAUUGGUCAAUAAUGCCAGAAUUUCUUGCUUCUCGUUUAGAAAAUGCAUGUGGAUGCAAAACCUGUUGCUCUAUUAAUUUUAUAAGUAAAUUGGAGAUCUGUUUAAAAACUGUUCUUGAUUUGACUUGCUGUUAUUUUUGGAUUUAUAAAGAAUUCUUGAUCAUCGAAGUUGAGAGAUGCUCUGUAGAAUAGAUAGCGCAGUGUAACUUCAAAGCUAGUAAACACUUCACUUGCAUAUGGUUGCUCCUUUUCUGUAACUAGUAUUCUGGACAAAUCCAGAAUGUAUGUGAUUCUCACACAUCCAUAAUUUUUUCAAGUGUUUAAUCAAUCCAUUGGUAGACAAUGAUUUAAUAGUUUUAUCUGUUUUAUUACAACGCAUGCCAAGCACUGUACAUCUUAUUGAGAAUCUUAUCCUGUUUCCUCCUUAGUUACCCUUCCACUUGAGUAUAACUUUGUUGAUUUAUUGUGUAAGAGAUUGUGAUACACUCUUGAUUAAUUUGUAAUCUGCUGUAGAUUACAGAAAACAUGCCAGCCCACUACAGAACUGUCACCCCACCACCAACACAUCAGAAGGCAGGGCUGGGUGACAUGGAAUUAGCAAGUAAUCGAAAAGUUGCUCAACAUACAGUAAACUAACACCAGUUGUUAAAUUUGGAAUAAGAAGACCCACUUUACAAGAGGAGGGCAUAAUUAUAACAGAAACUAUAAAAAUAGCUUUGCACUUGAUCUUUAAGAAAUGUAGCUAUCUAUUUUGACAGAAUACCAGAUAAUGUACUUGGGGAGUUACUGUGAUAGCUUUCUUUUAAAUACAUUUUUCACAGCUCUGUGUUUUAAGCUUUUCAAAGAGGAUAUCCCCAUCCCCCAGGUGUGUAUGGUAUGAGAUGUUUUAACUAGUAAAAAUAACAGAUGCUUGCUUGAAUCCAUUAGAGCAGAAACAAGUAUUAACUGUACUUCACACAGAAUCAAAAAUCAUAGCAAGCAGUUUAAGUGAUCAACUGGUUUCUGUAGUAUUUUUUUCACUGAAGUCUGGGAAACCUGAUUUGACUUGAAAACAUAUUUAAUGUUGAACACAAACCCUGCAUUCUUUAUUUAGCUAUGUGUGCACGAACAGACAAUUGUGAGGGGGGGAAAGUAUUCCUGAGUCAGGAUGGUUUUCCCAAGUUUAUUUUAAAGGGUUACAGCUAUACAGUUGAAUUAUUAAGGGAAAAAAAUCACCACUCAUGAGCAGUCAUCGGAUCUGUGGAUUAGUUGUGGCAGCUGUUACUGCAUUUUUAUCCACACAACCUUUUUGAAAAGAUAUGGCGAGACUUCUACAGCAUGGAGCAUGCUUUACAUGCUGAUCAUUGUGCGAAAGUGUGAAUUUUAUUUAAGUGUACUGUUGAAUACCAUGAAAUGGUAGAGGCAACGGUUUAAGAUUAACACAAUGCACUGCAACAGGAGAGGUUCAUUUUAAAGGCAGAAUCUUGUAUGUGCCUCACUGUCAUUCUCUGUCAAAUGAGCUGCUUAAUGAUGCAGGCCAUUCCUUGCCAUUAUAUUUAGACCAAAGACGUGCCGAUCUUGUCUGAGAAAAAAAAUCUUGCAGACAGGCAAGUAUGCUGGAAAGGAGCUCUCUUUAAGCCAAGUUUGUAGGUUUUGCAGGUAAGGGGUAAGAAUGGCAGUGAAUAAGGACAGUUUCAAACUAAUGGCACUCUUGUUUGAGAAACAUGUCUUUAGGGGGUGCUAUAGCAGAUUCAUUCAUUUUGCAGAAAGCAGGAGGUGUCUGUGUUAAACAAAACCCAGCCACGCUCGACUUUUCACUGUGUAAUUCCUUAAAUCCCCUGUAGUGGAAGCCCAUGGGAUAUAUGCAAAUGAACCCUUAAGGACAUAGUAUCUCAGCUUAUAUGGCUUCUGAUGCCCAUGACAUUUUACUUCAAGUAUGUAUGGGUACAUUCAGGUCAAUAAUGUUAAGCCCCAGUAGCUGUGGACAUGAAUGUGACAUCAGCACAGCACAAGUGGAUUGUUUGACCAUAUUUUAGUAACACAAAGCUUCAAAUCAAGCCUGAUGUCCAUAAACAUUAAAGUGCCUGCAAAAUAUUCCGGCUAACAUCCACACUGAAGAGUAACAAACACCUUAAUGUUUAUAGGUAUCAGGCUUGAUUUGCAAUCAAGUGAUUGGCUUCAAAUCACAUCCCUGGGGAACCUGCCUCCUCAGCAGAGUUGAAGUUUCCAACCUGGAAAACUGUUCUGGUGACUGUCACAUCAUCUGAAAGGAUUCUUCUUGAUCUUCCAUAAAGACUGUAUGAACUAACCCUUUCUUUAUGUUUGAAAUUGUACCAAGUCAAACUUUAAUUAGUAGAUUGAUUUGACUGUUUUUUUUUCCUUAUUCAAAUACUAUAUCAUCAGGUAAGGUGCUGUGUUGAAAGAACUAAAUCUGUUAGAAGGCCAGCAACUUUUCAUUUGUUCUAAUAAACAUCAUCAUCAUCAUCAUCCCCUUUUUCCCCAUUUACAUGGGGUAGGACGUAGUGCUACUAUUUCAAAGGUCACUUGCUAGACUGUUUGACUGCAUUAAAUUACAUAUCUUCACUUGUAAUUUCUAAGGCUAAUUCUACCAGAGCCAUGGCCACUUGAAUUGCUUAUGUUUCAGGAAUGCCACACCUGAUGCUACUAGUGCAGUAGCUACGUAAUGAUCAGUUAGUAGCUUUGUGGAGAAUUACAAACCUGAUGUGAUAUCCAGAUACAGAACUUCCUUUGGAGCAAGAUUUAUGUUCUUGGAAGCCAUGUACUAGUUGUAGCAUGGAAAUUGUCUUUUGGGAUAAAAAAAUUAUGUACUUUAACAAAAGAGUUUGAAGAGUUGUACAUUCUGAGGGGAUAUAAGGCUUUCUCUAGCUUCACAUUGCUAACCUUGUGGAGAUGGUGAGCAUCAUAGUGCAUUCUUUGAUAGAGGAAGGGUGCUGAACAGCUUGAGAAAGUAUGGUCUGCUGAGCAGUCAGUGUCUGUGGCCUUGGUCCUAUGAUUUACCAAGGAUGGAGACCUACUGUUUCAGGCCUGUCAUUACAGUAAGUAUAUAACCUGUGUGGUGUUUGCUAUUAUGGCAUUAGUUGUGGCUGAAAGUGAUUCAAGAAGGACCAGUUCACUGUACUGACUAAUGAAAUUCAAAGUAACCCUUCACCUACAAGCAGUCUAUUAAUGCAGUGUUAGAUUCCAUACUUCUGCCAGGUUUGUCAGCAGUUGGCUGGAGCUCGGUCAAAGUAAAUUUAAGUGCAACAAAACUCUUUUGAACUGAACAAGUAAAGAAGCUUUUUACUUUAAUUUAUCUGUUAAAAUAUUUAUUCUUAAUCAGAGUAGUGAAUACCAUGAAUCGAGUAAGUCAUCUUAGUUAUCCCACACAUGAUUCUUGUGUGACUUUCAAGAGCCGUUCGGCUUUAGUGAGACAGAGCAGCUCUUACAACUAGCUUGGCAGGAAUGAAGUGGAACAUGGCAUGGUCAGCAUAGUAUGAAUGAAUGAAAGUUCAGGGUACUGUUUCUGGAAGAUAACUACUGAAGGUAUUAGCAGGAAAACCUUGGCAUGAUCCUGUGUAGGAGUUAGAGUAAAAUAAAAUGUGUGAAAUGUUUAAAGUCAGGCAUCUUACAGAGCUGCUGAAAAGUGGUCCCUUCUCCUUUGCAAACUUUGAGCUCUGUUCUUUACCCAUAGGGAUUGAUGUUACACAAUUCAUCAGCUUAUAAUGCACUAGACCAAAGAAUUGUUCCAGCAACCAGUUUUUGGGGUGAGUGCCUGCUUUAAAUGAAAGCUCACCUGUGCUUGAGUUUGGCCAUUCAAGGCAGUAGAUGUUGGAGGUGCUUUUUCAACAUGGGACUUGGGCCCUUAAUUUUCUGUUUCUUCUGUCCCACAUCAUCUUUUCUUGAAAACUAAGAUGUAUAAAAGCUAGCCUAACUCUCGUUCUAGGGGUAUGGAGACUGUGGAGAAGAGAGAACAGCUUCCUCUAUGGAAUUUCAUGCACCUUCAUUUUAACUUUGUGCAGCUGUUGUGGCCAGGUCAUUAGCAUCCGGGAGUCUGGUAUGUGCUGUCCCCAUAUGACAUGUCCCUUUCCUCCUGGAAGGAAGGAUUGGGGCUGGGAGUCCUUUCUUUUGGCAACUCAUAACUGUCUGAAUUCUGUUUUCCUGAGUCCAACUUCCAGAAGUACAGUUCUUGAAAUUAUUUUACAUUGUUUAGCUGCACCGUGAGUUCUCAGUUGAGCAAACCAUUUUUUCACCACCACCCCCCUGUUAGGUUUAUUGCUUUGUCUAUAGAUGUGCAACUGUGAAGUAGUGUGGGGAAUUUGGAUAGAGUUCCCCACAUGGGACUUGAGCCCUUCAGAAAAAAAGUUGACAAAUCUGAGUUCUCCAGUUUACUGUCAACAGAUUGGGUUAGCUUCUAUUAUUGGAUCAGUUUAUACAUUUUAUCAUAGAUGUAGAUGGUCUUCUCUGGGAGGAGGUCCUCUGAGCAAGGUUUGCAGACCAUGGCAGAACUUCUGUGAAAGAGGAGUGAUUGACAAUCCCAUUUCUCUUCCUUUUCAUCCAUUUCAGACUGUCAGACAUCUUAAGUAGAAGAACCACAUCACAGACAAGUUGUCAAGCAUCAGGGCAGUCUUCCCACCAUUGCAUUCACACGCCAAGCCUCCCAGAAGGUAGACUUCAUAGUUGAUUUUUCAGCACACUAGGAUUUGAAGUGGGAGGCUGGUUAGCCGAGUUUGCUCUGUACAUCACCCAACCCAGCCAUAUCUUGGAGUCUUUCUUUCCCAUCAGGAGAGGUUGUUUAUUACUGACCCCCCCCCCCCAUUUCACAAGAGUUUCCAUCUUUACUUCUGUUACAUCAGUUCCAUAAAAGUGUCCCCCUUUCUUAGGAAGCCUAGAUGGUGUCACUGCACAUGAUAGACUCUGUUGGCACACAUACUUGUCAACCUGUUAGAGCACGAAAUCUCAACAAAGGUAUCAAUUAAUGGGGGGAACAAAGCCCUAAAAAAUGGGGCACUUUUUAAAUAUUGCUCUUACAAACUUUAAGUGGCUAGAAUAACAGGUUAUGUGUUAGCAUUAAUUUUCUGAAGGAUAUGAAGUAUGAAACUCAUGUGCCAUUGUCUUCUGACUUCAGUCCUCAAUGAUUUGCCAGAAAACCACAAUUUUAAGAGAAAUAGACCAAAAAAAGGCAAAAAUCUGUACAGUUGAGCGAUAUGUUGGCACAGGUUUAUCAAAAUGUUGAUCACCCAUCGUCGAUGCCACUAACGCGAACUCCGAACAGCGACUGUUGGGAUGUCGAACACCGAUAUUCCGAAAUGCAAAAUCCCCCCGUUGGACCCAUGGUAGCACUUGUUUUGUGGUGUAGCGGUCGGAAAUGUCGACAUUCGGUGUUUUAGUUCGAUAUCUUCAGGAAUCGGCAUUAUAGCUUUCGCAUAAGAGUCGACAGUAUGUACAUUCGACGAUGGGCGAUCGACAUUUUGAUAGUAAACCAUUGGCACAUCAUUGUCUGACAUCCUUAUUCGGUUCUUUCUAGGUUAUUACUUUUUUGUACAAGAUGCUGACAUUUGGUCUGUUAUGUCACCCCAUAGUGUUUGCUAAAGAUGUGGCCACAAUAACAGAGCCCUUAAUAGAGAAGGGGUGUCCUAAUGUCCCCUUGUCAGGUGACUGCUUUUGUUGGCUCAAUUGAGGGAGUCCUAAUAGCAGCCCUUUCAUGGAUUUUUCUUUUGCUGCAUCUCCUGAAGGAAAACCUUUCUUUCUUUGUAAAGUCUUUGUUUCAGCAUAGAUGAUUCCAUUUACUGAGAUGGUGUUGGAAAUUUUUUUUUUAGCAUUUUCUGUUUGUGUCUGGCCUUGGCGUCUUGAAUGUGGUGGUAGGUUUGAGUUAGGGCAUGAAUACUUUGGUCUUUUUGGCCUCAUGGUGGCCGCAGUUGAUGUUUUUCCCCAUUGAGUUUGCUUCAUUUGAAGGUGCUACAGUGGACAGUCAUGCAUCAGUCACUGCAUAUCGUCAGUUUGUAGUGCAUGGAGUGCUGUGGAUGCCCUCCAGUAGCUGAAGAAAGUAAACUUGUUGAAUAUUUCUGUAGAGUUGAGACCCGGUUUUAUAAUGUUAGUUGAAGGUAGUUUUGCUCUCAAGAUGAAUUUCUUGGCAUCCACACACAAAGCUGUAACAUAUAGCUUUAGGUUACUGCAGAACAUCUACUGUUCAACAAUGCCCAUUUUAAUUUCUGCAGAAAACUAAAAAAAAAAAAAUCGUAUCUUAAUAGUAGCAACAUAUCUGGUAAUGAUUAAGGUUUAUAGGAGCCCGCAGGUAUUAAAACUCAUUUUGACUGCAGAGGCUGGAAAAUCAUAAACAAGAAAAUCUGACUUAGCUAAGAAAAAGGCAGGACUAAAAUCAGACAGUUUGAACAUCUACUGUUAUGGAUUUAUAUGUGCAAUUGUACUUUGUGAAUUUUUUUUUUUUUUCAUUUUAAAUGGGACGCUGUGUUUUUGUAAAAGCUAUGCAUGUUUAACCAGCCGUCCAGUUUUGUACCAUUUUAAGUUAUUUUUGAUUACUGGACUAAUUUUUAUUUCUUUUUUUUUUUUUUUUUCUUACUCAUCAAAACAUUGACCCUAAGACUGUUCAUAUGAAAAUGGAAUAUUCUGUUACCUGAGAAGUAUGAAUAUUUAGAACAUUAGGUACUAAAGAGCAUGGGCAAAUAGGGUAGUUAAAAAGGUUAGGUAAUGUACAUCUGUUUGCAUGGUGUGGAAAGGAAGUAAAUUAAGUAUAAUUAGUCAUUUUUGGUGUCCUAUAAACCACCAUUUUAGUGCUUGUAAAGUCAGGGUUGUUAAACUACUGAAACCUUUGGUAAAAUAACCUUGCCUUAUCAUUUUUGCUGAAUUGGUUGUAAAACAGAUCAGUUCUGAAUUUAUUGUUAGUAGUAUAAUUUCUUGCAGUAUGUGAGCAGAAUUGCUGCUUGAGAGUUGCGUAGGAAUGUGGUGGUUGCUGGAAUAAGUUAUCACAUAUAUUUGGAAAAGCAGUGCGGUUCAGUUUUACAUCUGUAAAAUAGCCUAGCUAAUCAAGUUAAGUGUACCUUUGAUGAGACAAUGAAGACCAAACUAUCUGGUUGGAAAAGUAACAAUAUAAUAUUAAAGGCUGAGAAUGUGGUUUCAUACCUGUGCCAUGCAGAAGCUGACCUAAUGUUCCAAGUAUGUUUUUGAGGAAGUGCUUUUUCCCCCCUGAAUAUUUGGUAAAGUGUUGCAUUUGUUGAAGGAUAAUAGUGGAACUUUAUAAGUGUGGCUUCCUGGCUGCCCUGAGAAGUGGGCAAAGUGACUACAAUGUGUUAUACAAACUGCAUUUUGUAAAGAGAGGUAAUUCCUAGCACUGAUUAUGCUUGUAAUUACAAUUAGAGGCGGGGCUAACCACCCAGCAGUGUGAAUGUUGGGCUGAAGGUCAUCACUGAUGUGACGCUCUGACAUAGUGUACAAAGUAGAAAAAAGGGGUUGCUGCCAGUGUCUGUUAGUGUGAUGUUAUGCAAAUUACUGUGCUUGUGCAGUUCAUUUUCUUUUAGAACCAGGUAUAAUCUGCAAGAAUGUUUUUGUCUUCUAUUACAUUUUUUUCUCUCCAUAUCACAUAAAUGUUUUUGCACACAGUUGUUACUGCUGUUCACUAGAUUGUUUGAUCAUUAAUUUGUUCAUUGUUAAAUUAGUAAGUUUCCAAUACUUUUGGACUUUAUUUGCAAUGUGAUCUCUUUGAUUGUAUUAAAAUGCUUGCCAGAGUGCAGCAGGGUUAGUUUAACAGCAUCAGUACUCUAUUUAACCCCUUGUUUAAUGACAGUAAAUUAUCCAAGUGCAGAGUUAUUUUUUCUCAACUUCCUCCAUUUGUCAAUAGUUCUCUUGAAAUGGCUUUGAAAGGAAUGUCCAUUCCUUAAAGUUAAAUUGAUCGCAAGUUGUCCUACUCAAGACAGAUUUUUAUGUAUUGUUCUUUGUGUUUUUCUCAGACUGAAUGAUUUGUAAAUCGUGUAUAAAAUUUACAUUCCAAUGUUUUAAUUUUUAUUUUGCAGUAUAGUGAAGGCAAAUAAAGUUCCAGCGUGCCCUUUCAGUUAAAAGUAUACAGCAGGUAAUGCAAAUAAACAAGCUGCACAGACUGUAUUGUCUUGAGAUAAAGGUUAAAUAAAUUCCUAUUUAAAAUCUGCAGAUUGUCUUCUGGUUUAAUACCAGGAUAUAAGUAGUGGCAUUGAACUGUUAUGCAUUUCAAGCAUUUUACUGUUUCAUUCUUUGUAGAUGAAACCUAUAAUCUUGCUGAAGCGAUUGUCAGAGAAAAUGUUUUCUGAGGCUGUAAUUUUUUCAUUGUAGCAUGUCAUUCUGGUUGCAUUAUCAGUCUUUCUUUCGAAUUAACACUUUCAUAUUUUGGAGUCAGUAUAAUAAAGCAGGUAAAGUGUUGAGAAAUGUAGCCUUCAUGGGUGCAUGAAAAGGGAAAUAAAUGUUGCCAAAAGUGUUUCUGUUCUGGGAGAUCACCUGCAUAUAGUUUAGGAAUGGCAGGGUUAUGGUCCUUGAUAGGUGGUCAAAACUUUUAGUGUUACAAUAGUUGCUCUGGUCUGUUGAAUUAGUAGAAAUUUCCUGUCACACCUGGAGAAUUCAUACUUGCCUGAUAUACUGGAUUCAUGCCACUUUGUAAGCAGUCUGAUAUUAAAUGUCUUUUCAGCUUAACUAACAACCAGCCUCUUAUUGUGCAACUUGCUAGUUUUACAAACCAGUUUUAAAAACUGAAGUUUUGUUAAUGUACAGUGUACAGCACUUUGACUUGUUCCUUCAUUUGAUGCAUAGGGCACUCUGCCUUCACUUUUUUCAGUCCUGACUUUAUUCUGUAAAGUGCACUCCACUUGUAAAUAUUUAUGCAUUACUUGAUUUGUGCAUGUUUUUAUGUAUUAUGAAUAAACACCUUGCCAACCAA